This 495-nucleotide unclassified non-coding RNA is filed under the name uncultured Glomeromycotina. RNAcentral's name for it is "SSU rRNA". It matches the Rfam family "Eukaryotic small subunit ribosomal RNA", at positions 591 to 1092 of the family's 1831-position model. Lineage: Eukaryota; Fungi; Glomeromycota. The record is from RNAcentral.
CCAAUAGCGUAUAUUAAAGUUGUUGUGGUUAAAAAGCUCGUAGUUGAACCUUGGGCCUGGCUGGCCGGUCCGCCUCACCGCGUGUACUGGUCCGGCCGGGCCUUUCCCUCUGUGGAACCCCAUGCCCUUCACUGGGUGUGGCGGGGAAACAGGACUUUUACUUUGAAAAAAUUAGAGUGCUCCAGGCAGGCCUAUGCUCGAAUACAUUAGCAUGGAAUAAUAGAAUAGGACGUGUGGUUCUAUUUUGUUGGUUUCUAGGACCGCCGUAAUGAUUAAUAGGGACAGUCGGGGGCAUCAGUAUUCAAGUGUCAGAGGUGAAAUUCUUGGAUUUAUUGAAGACUAACUACUGCGAAAGCAUUUGCCAAGGAUGUUUUCAUUAAUCAGGAACGAAAGUUAGGGGAUCGAAGACGAUCAGAUAACGUCGUAGUCUUAACCAUAAACUAUGCCGACUAGGGAUCGGACGAUGUUAUUUUUUGACUCGUUCGGCACCUUACG